CAAUAGCGUAUAUUAAAGUUGCUGCAGUUAAAAAGCUCGUAGUUGGAUCUCGGGCUCAGGCUUGCGGUCCGCCUCGCGGCGGUCACUGCUCGUCCUGACCUCCACGCCGGUGUCACCGUCCCUUGGUGCUCUUGACUGAGUGUCUCGGGCGGCCGGUACGUUUACUUUGAAGAAAUUAGAGUGCUUAAAGCAGGCCCUAGCCGCCUGAAUAAUGGUGCAUGGAAUAAUGGAAGAGGACCUCGGUUCUAUUUUGUUGGCUCUCGGAGCUCGAGGUAAUGAUUAACAGGGACUGACGGGGGCAUUCGUAUUGCGGCGCUAGAGGUGAAAUUCUUGGACCGUCGCAAGACGAACUACAGCGAAAGCAUUUGCCAAGCAUGUUUUCAUUAA
Molecule: ribosomal RNA, 387 nt
Filed under: uncultured eukaryote
Lineage: Eukaryota
Description: partial 18S ribosomal RNA
Rfam family: Eukaryotic small subunit ribosomal RNA
Source: RNAcentral